UACAGAGGGUGCGAGCGUUAAUCGGAAUUACUGGGCGUAAAGCGCACGUAGGCGGCUUGGUAUGUCGGGUGUGAAAUCCCCGGGCUCAACCUGGGAACUGCAUCCGAAACUGCCUUGCUAGAGUAUGGGAGAGGGAAGUGGAAUUUCCGGUGUAGCGGUGAAAUGCGUAGAUAUCGGAAGGAACAUCAGUGGCGAAGGCGACUUCCUGGACCAAUACUGACGCUCAGGUGCGAAAGCG
This 238-nucleotide ribosomal RNA is filed under the name uncultured bacterium. RNAcentral's name for it is "partial 16S ribosomal RNA". It matches the Rfam family "Bacterial small subunit ribosomal RNA", at positions 524 to 761 of the family's 1533-position model. The record is from RNAcentral.